This 354-nucleotide long non-coding RNA is filed under the name Homo sapiens (human). RNAcentral describes it as "long non-coding RNA NONHSAT083872.2". The record is from RNAcentral. Lineage: Eukaryota; Metazoa; Chordata; Mammalia; Primates; Hominidae.
UCUUCCUGGGGCAGGACUUGCUGAAGCACACUCCUGCCAGCCACCCUGACCACCCCUUGCUGCAGGACGCCCUCCGCAUCUCACAGAACUUCCUGUCCAGCAUCAAUGAGGAGAUCACACCCCGACGGCAGUCCAUGACGGUGAAGAAGGGAGAGACCGGCAGCUGCUGAAGGACAGCUUCAUGGUGGAGCUGGUGGAGGGGGCCCGCAAGCUGCGCCACGUCUUCCUGUUCACCGACCUGCUUCUCUGCACCAAGCUCAAGAAGCAGAGCGGAGGAAAACGCAGCAGUAUGACUGCAAAUGGUACAUUCCGCUCACGGAUCUCAGCUUCCAGAUGGUGGAUGAACUGGAGGCA